GCCGGCGUAGCUCAGCGGUAGAGCACGUGAUUUGUAAUCUCGGGGUCGGGGGUCCAAAUCCCUCCGCCGGCUCAA
RNAcentral lists this transfer RNA (75 nucleotides) under Lentimicrobiaceae bacterium. RNAcentral's name for it is "tRNA-Thr". It matches the Rfam family "tRNA". Rfam says of the family: Transfer RNA (tRNA) molecules are approximately 80 nucleotides in length. Their secondary structure includes four short double-helical elements and three loops (D, anti-codon, and T loops). Further hydrogen bonds mediate the characteristic L-shaped molecular structure. tRNAs have two regions of fundamental functional importance: the anti-codon, which is responsible for specific mRNA codon recognition, and the 3' end, to which the tRNAs corresponding amino acid is attached (by aminoacyl-tRNA synthetases). tRNAs cope with the degeneracy of the genetic code in two manners: having more than one tRNA (with a specific anti-codon) for a particular amino acid; and 'wobble' base-pairing, i.e. permitting non-standard base-pairing at the 3rd anti-codon position. The record is from RNAcentral. Lineage: Bacteria; Pseudomonadati; Bacteroidota; Bacteroidia; Bacteroidales; Lentimicrobiaceae.